Molecule: ribosomal RNA, 95 nt
Filed under: Shewanella sp. UCD-FRSSP16_17
Lineage: Bacteria; Pseudomonadati; Pseudomonadota; Gammaproteobacteria; Alteromonadales; Shewanellaceae
Description: partial 23S ribosomal RNA
Source: RNAcentral
GGACGUUGAUAGGCAGGGUGUGUAAGCGUUGUGAGGCGUUGAGCUAACCUGUACUAAUGACUCGUGAGGCUUAACCAUACAACCCAGAUGAGUUU